UACGGAGGGCGCAAGCGUUAUCCGGAUUUACUGGGCUUAAAGGGCGGGCAGGCGGAUAUGUAAGUCUGUGGUGAAAUCUCUAGGCUUAACCUGGAAAUUGCCGUUGAUACUAUAUAUCUUGAAUGCUGUGGAGGUAAGCGGAAUAUGUCAUGUAGCGGUGAAAUGCGUAGAUAUGACAUAGAACACCCAAUGCGAAGGCAGCUUACUGCACGAGCAUUGACGCUGAGGCACGAAAGCGUGGGGAGCAAACAGG
This 253-nucleotide ribosomal RNA is filed under the name uncultured bacterium. RNAcentral's name for it is "partial 16S ribosomal RNA". It matches the Rfam family "Bacterial small subunit ribosomal RNA", at positions 524 to 776 of the family's 1533-position model. The record is from RNAcentral.